GGGUUGUGAGGUUAAGCGACUAAGCGUACACGGUGGAUGCCCUGGCAGUCAGAGGCGAUGAAGGGCGUGCUAAUCUGCGAUAAGCGCCGGUAAGGUGAUAUGAACCGUUAUAACCGGCGAUACCCGAAUGGGGAAACCCAGUGUGAUUCGUCACACUAUCAUUAACUGAAUCCAUAGGUUAAUGAGGCGAACCGGGGGAACUGAAACAUCUAAGUACCCCGAGGAAAAGAAAUCAACCGAGAUUCCCCCAGUAGCGGCGAGCGAACGGGGAGGAGCCCAGAGCCUGAAUCAGCAUGUGUGUUAGUGGAAGCGUCUGGAAAGGCGCGCGAUACAGGGUGACAGCCCCGUACACAAAAGCGCAUGUGCUGUGAGCUCGAUGAGUAGGGCGGGACACGUGGUAUCCUGUCUGAAUAUGGGGGGACCAUCCUCCAAGGCUAAAUACUCCUGACUGACCGAUAGUGAACCAGUACCGUGAGGGAAAGGCGAAAAGAACCCCGGCGAGGGGAGUGAAAAAGAACCUGAAACCGUGUACGUACAAGCAGUGGGAGCACGGUUACCUGUGUGACUGCGUACCUUUUGUAUAAUGGGUCAGCGACUUAUAUUCUGUAGCAAGGUUAACCGAAUAGGGGAGCCGGAGGGAAACCGAGUCUUAACCGGGCGUUAAGUUGCAGGGUAUAGACCCGAAACCCGGUGAUCUAGCCAUGGGCAGGUUGAAGGUUGGGUAACACUAACUGGAGGACCGAACCGACUAAUGUUGAAAAAUUAGCGGAUGACCUGUGGCUGGGGGUGAAAGGCCAAUCAAACCGGGAGAUAGCUGGUUCUCCCCGAAAGCUAUUUAGGUAGCGCCUCGUGAAUUCAUCUCCGGGGGUAGAGCACUGUUUCGGCUAGGGGGCCAUCCCGGCUUACCAACCCGAUGCAAACUGCGAAUACCGGAGAAUGUUAUCACGGGAGACACACGGCGGGUGCUAACGUCCGUCGUGAAGAGGGAAACAACCCAGACCGCCAGCUAAGGUCCCAAAGUCAUGGUUAAGUGGGAAACGAUGUGGGAAGGCCCAGACAGCCAGGAUGUUGGCUUAGAAGCAGCCAUCAUUUAAAGAAAGCGUAAUAGCUCACUGGUCGAGUCGGCCUGCGCGGAAGAUGUAACGGGGCUAAACCAUGCACCGAAGCUGCGGCAGCGAACGUAUCACUUAAAGCGAUUCAGCGGGUUACGAUUGACGGAGCGAAGCGACGUCAAAGCGUAUACAAAGUCGAGUCGGUUUAAGGAUACGUUCGUUGGGUAGGGGAGCGUUCUGUAAGCCUGUGAAGGUGUGUCGUGAGGCAUGCUGGAGGUAUCAGAAGUGCGAAUGCUGACAUAAGUAACGAUAAAGCGGGUGAAAAGCCCGCUCGCCGGAAGACCAA
This 1398-nucleotide ribosomal RNA is filed under the name Salmonella enterica. RNAcentral describes it as "bacterial LSU rRNA". It matches the Rfam family "Bacterial large subunit ribosomal RNA", at positions 1 to 1348 of the family's 2925-position model. The record is from RNAcentral. Lineage: Bacteria; Pseudomonadati; Pseudomonadota; Gammaproteobacteria; Enterobacterales; Enterobacteriaceae.